RNAcentral lists this ribosomal RNA (347 nucleotides) under uncultured bacterium. RNAcentral describes it as "partial 16S ribosomal RNA". It matches the Rfam family "Bacterial small subunit ribosomal RNA", at positions 338 to 682 of the family's 1533-position model. The record is from RNAcentral.
CCUACGGGUGGCAGCAGUGAGGAAUAUUGGUCAAUGGGCGCGAGCCUGAACCAGCCAAGUAGCGUGAAGGAUGACUGCCCUAUGGGUUGUAAACUUCUUUUAUAAAGGAAUAAAACGAGGCACGUGUGCCUUUUUGCAUGUACUUUAUGAAUAAGGAUCGGCUAACUCCGUGCCAGCAGCCGCGGUAAUACGGAGGAUCCGAGCGUUAUCCGGAUUUAUUUGGUUUAAAGGGAGCGUAGAUGGGUUGUUAAGUCAGUUGUGAAAGUUUGCGGCUCAACCGUAAAAUUGCAUUUGAUACUGGCAGUCUUGAGUACAUUUGCGGUAGGCGGCAUUCGUGGUGUAGCGGU